This is a long non-coding RNA of Chelonia mydas (Green sea turtle), 285 nucleotides long. RefSeq lists it as uncharacterized. Lineage: Eukaryota; Metazoa; Chordata; Testudines; Cheloniidae. The transcript has 2 exons. The record is from RefSeq and is a predicted model, not a curated record.
GGAAGACUUGAUUUAAUCAUGGAUUUCUACAUAAAAGUGCAUUCUUGAAUAUGCUGCUCAAACAGUUUCACUUUUGUUUCUACUGCCUGUCCCUCCCUUCUCACAUUUAUCUCCAGACUUCUUCUCCUUGUGUGGAUCUAUUCUGUCCCCAGCAAUCUUCUAUUCAUUGAACUUUUUGAAACUUUGCACUUUUAGAGAGAGAUAAGGGAUUGACUCUGUGUACACAGAUUUGCAGCGUGACAAUAGGGUUGAGGCCAGUUAUUUCUCACCUCAAUAUAUUUAUUU